Mustela erminea (ermine) is the source of this 217-nucleotide long non-coding RNA. RefSeq lists it as uncharacterized. The transcript is spliced from 3 exons. The record is from RefSeq and is a predicted model, not a curated record. NCBI's taxonomy places the organism in Eukaryota, Metazoa, Chordata, Mammalia, Carnivora, Mustelidae.
CUUUCUGUAACCGCUUGGCUUUUAGGGCAUGACACUUGUCUCCUGUUUGAACAAGAUACCUUCUCCUAAUAGCCGAGGCAUAGUCACGUAGACAGGGGGCUGCAUAGUCACGUAGACAGGAUGCCUUUCUGCUGAGUAAUAAGGUCAAACUUCCCCUCUUUGUUUCCCCUUCCCGCCUUUCUCUUCGCUCGCGGGGUCUAACAGGCCAGUUCUGCUU